RNAcentral lists this ribosomal RNA (253 nucleotides) under uncultured bacterium. RNAcentral's name for it is "partial 16S ribosomal RNA". It matches the Rfam family "Bacterial small subunit ribosomal RNA", at positions 524 to 776 of the family's 1533-position model. The record is from RNAcentral.
UACGUAGGGUGCAAGCGUUGUCCGGAAUUAUUGGGCGUAAAGAGCUCGUAGGCGGUCUGUCACGUCGGAUGUGAAAAUCCAGGGCUUAACCCUGGACCUGCAUUCGAUACGGGCAGACUAGAGUUCGGUAGGGGAGACUGGAAUUCCUGGUGUAGCGGUGAAAUGCGUAGAUAUCUGGAGGAACACCGAUGGCGAAGGCAGCCCCCUGGGCUAACACUGACGCUCAUGCACGAAAGCGUGGGGAGCAAACAGG